CGUGAGACAGUUCGGUCCCUAUCUGCCGUGGGUGUAGGAGGUUUGAGAGGCUUUGUCCCUAGUACGAGAGGACCGGGAUGAACGUACCUCUGGUGGAGCUGUUGUCGCGCCAGCGGCAGUGCAGCAUAGCUAUGUACGGACGGGAUAACCGCUGAAGGCAUCUAAGCGGGAAACCCCCCUUAAAACGAGACCUCCCUUGAGGGCCGUGGAAGACGACCACGUCGAUAGGCCGGGGGUGCAAGCGCGGCGACGCGUUGAGCCGACCGGUACUAAUCGCCCGAUUGGCUUGAUCG
RNAcentral lists this ribosomal RNA (293 nucleotides) under Methylobacterium sp. UNC378MF. Its description in RNAcentral is "23S rRNA. Bacterial LSU". It matches the Rfam family "Bacterial large subunit ribosomal RNA", at positions 2620 to 2925 of the family's 2925-position model. The record is from RNAcentral. Lineage: Bacteria; Pseudomonadati; Pseudomonadota; Alphaproteobacteria; Hyphomicrobiales; Methylobacteriaceae.